Molecule: ribosomal RNA, 465 nt
Filed under: Vreelandella stevensii
Lineage: Bacteria; Pseudomonadati; Pseudomonadota; Gammaproteobacteria; Oceanospirillales; Halomonadaceae
Description: partial 16S ribosomal RNA
Rfam family: Bacterial small subunit ribosomal RNA
Source: RNAcentral
CCUACGGGAGGCAGCAGUGGGGAAUAUUGGACAAUGGGCGAAAGCCUGAUCCAGCCAUGCCGCGUGUGUGAAGAAGGCCUUCGGGUUGUAAAGCACUUUCAGUGGGGAAGAAAGCCUUGGGGCUAAUACCCUCGAGGAAGGACAUCACCCACAGAAGAAGCACCGGCUAACUCCGUGCCAGCAGCCGCGGUAAUACGGAGGGUGCGAGCGUUAAUCGGAAUUACUGGGCGUAAAGCGCGCGUAGGCGGUCUGAUAAGCCGGUUGUGAAAGCCCCGGGCUCAACCUGGGAACGGCAUCCGGAACUGUCAGGCUAGAGUGCAGGAGAGGAAGGUAGAAUUCCCGGUGUAGCGGUGAAAUGCGUAGAGAUCGGGAGGAAUACCAGUGGCGAAGGCGGCCUUCCGGACUGACACUGACGCUGAGGUGCGAAAGCGUGGGUAGCAAACAGGAUUAGAUACCCGAGUAGUC